CUUUCUCUCGGAGAAAAAAAACCUUCCCUUAUCCUCUUUUCCUCGUCCACCAAAUCCCGUGAAGCAGGAGCCCGGGAGGUCGAGGUGAGCGGCGGACCGGACAAGCCUGGAGAGCAGAUCAAGCCGGGGAGCUAGACCAGCAGCGCCACCGCCUCCUCCCUCCUCUUUCUAUGAGCUGGAGCAGGGGUCGCCCAGCCGCCGCCGCCCCGAUGGGGAAGGGCCACCGCGCUCCUCCUCCCGGCUAUGCGCUCGGCCGUCGCGCUCCUCCAGCCGCCUUCCUGCGCCACGCGCUGCGCCAAGUACACCCCCGGCCGCCUCCUCCAGUUGCCUGCUCCCGGCGACGCGCGCCGCGCCUAGCACGGGCCCGGCCGUCCCCCUCCUGCUGCCUCCUCCUAGCGACGCACGCCGCACCCGGGAGGGCCUGUUUCCCUUGGUCCCCUACGCCGACGGCCGAUUACAGUGUUGUCUAGGUGCCGUUGCUGCGUACUUGGGGGAGCAGAGGGAGAUGAUGGUGAUCAAUACCGUCUUGUAAAGCGUCAAAGACGGAAAGCGAAAGCCACAACACCCGAUGUAGGCGGUUCCUCAUCUACAACAGUUGUUGAGGAAAUCGGCAACCCGAGCACCUACUGUGGCAACUCCAACACCUAGUGAGCCAGCUGCAGGUCAACACAUGCAUAAUGCAUCAUCUGAUGGGCCAACGCCCGCAACUAGUGAGGGAAACACACUUUCAUCUGUGCCAGCUCCAGUAAUCACUCUGCCAAGUACAAUAUCAAGUGAGGCAACUGUAACUCCAGAUGUGCCACCCCCAAUAGCCAAUGUGCCACCUGAAGGUCAAACUGUGCCAACUGCAGGGCAUAUGUUGGAUGUUGGUGUGAACAAUCUUUUGUGCCUAUUUUGUAUCUAUUUUCAUCGGAUGUUGGUGUGAACAAUCUUUUAUGCACGCUGUGUGCCUACAGGUGGCUGCUGCAACUUGUCUAGUUGCACGAAAGCAGUAUAUAGUUGCACCAACUUGUUUACUUUUUUUGGCACAUAGUGUUGCUACAAUUGGCUGCUGUAACUUGAUUGGUUGCACAAAAGCAGCAUAUUGGUUGCACAGAUUCUAUGCCAACCCCCUA
Long non-coding RNA from Triticum dicoccoides, 1115 nucleotides. RefSeq lists it as uncharacterized. Lineage: Eukaryota; Viridiplantae; Streptophyta; Magnoliopsida; Poales; Poaceae. The transcript is spliced from 3 exons. The record is from RefSeq and is a predicted model, not a curated record.